GAUGAAGAACGCAGCGAAAUGCGAUAAUUAAUGUGAAUUGCAGAAUUUAGUGAAUCAUCGAAUCUUUGAACGCACAUUGCGCCCCUUGGUAUUCCAUGGGGCAUGCCUGUUCGAGCGUCAUUUGUACCUUCAAGCUCUGCUUGGUGUUGGGUGUUUGUCUCGCCUCUGCGUGUAGACUCGCCUUAAAACAAUUGGCAGCCGGCGUAUUGAUUUCGGAGCGCAGUACAUCUCGCGCUUUGCACUCAUAACGACGACGUCCAAAAGUACAUUUUUACACUCUUGACCUCGGAUCAGGUAGGGAUACCCGCUGAACUUAAGCAUAUCAAUAAGCGGAGGA
Molecule: unclassified non-coding RNA, 337 nt
Filed under: soil metagenome
Description: partial contains 5.8S ribosomal RNA, internal transcribed spacer 2, and large subunit ribosomal RNA
Rfam family: 5.8S ribosomal RNA (bases 1-120)
Source: RNAcentral